This is a non-coding RNA of Claviceps sp. LM84 group G4, 88 nucleotides long. The record is from the annotation of a GenBank genome assembly. Lineage: Eukaryota; Fungi; Ascomycota; Sordariomycetes; Hypocreales; Clavicipitaceae.
GGGGGGCUGGCGCAACGGUAGCGCGUCAGAUUCCAGUUCUUGCAAUGGGAAUACCUGAAGGUUAUCGGUUCAAAUCCGGUGUCCCUCA